This 562-nucleotide ribosomal RNA is filed under the name uncultured bacterium. Its description in RNAcentral is "bacterial SSU rRNA". It matches the Rfam family "Bacterial small subunit ribosomal RNA", at positions 338 to 917 of the family's 1533-position model. The record is from RNAcentral.
UCUACGGGAGGCAGCAGAGGGGAAUAUUGGACAAUGGGGGCAACCCUGAUCCAGCAAUGCCGCGUGGGUGAAGAAGGUCUUCGGAUUGUAAAGCCCUUUCGGCGGGGACGAUGAUGACGGUACCCGCAGAAGAAGUCCCGGCUAACUUCGUGCCAGCAGCCGCGGUAAUACGAAGGGGGCUAGCGUUGCUCGGAAUGACUGGGCGUAAAGGGCGCGUAGGCGGUUUGGACAGUCAGGCGUGAAAUUCCUGGGCUUAACCUGGGGGCUGCGCUCGAUACAUCUGGACUUGAGUGAGGAAGAGGGUCGUGGAAUUCCCAGUGUAGAGGUGAAAUUCGUAGAUAUUGGGAAGAACACCGGUGGCGAAGGCGGCGACCUGGUCCUUUACUGACGCUGAGGCGCGAAAGCGUGGGGAGCAAACAGGAUUAGAUACCCUGGUAGUCCACGCCGUAAACGAUGUGCGCUGGAUGUUGGGUGACUUAGUCACUCAGUGUCGUAGCUAACGCGAUAAGCGCACCGCCUGGGGAGUACGGCCGCAAGGUUGAAACUCAAAUGAAUUGACGGA